RNAcentral lists this transfer RNA (70 nucleotides) under Concinnia brachysoma (Northern barsided skink). RNAcentral's name for it is "Concinnia brachyosoma (Northern barsided skink) tRNA-His". It matches the Rfam family "tRNA". From Rfam's summary of the family: Transfer RNA (tRNA) molecules are approximately 80 nucleotides in length. Their secondary structure includes four short double-helical elements and three loops (D, anti-codon, and T loops). The record is from RNAcentral. Lineage: Eukaryota; Metazoa; Chordata; Lepidosauria; Squamata; Scincidae.
GUUAAUAUAGUUUAAUUAAAAACAUUAGGCUGUGGACCUAAAAAUAGAAACUCGCCUCUUCUUAUAGACC